RNAcentral lists this ribosomal RNA (256 nucleotides) under uncultured archaeon. RNAcentral describes it as "partial 16S ribosomal RNA". It matches the Rfam family "Bacterial small subunit ribosomal RNA", at positions 521 to 776 of the family's 1533-position model. The record is from RNAcentral.
UAAUACGUAGGGUGCGAGCGUUAAUCGGAAUUACUGGGCGUAAAGCGUGCGCAGGCGGUUUUGCAAGCCGGAUGUGAAAUCCCCGGGCUCAACCUGGGAAUGGCAUUCGGGACUGCAAGGCUGGAGUGUGGCAGAGGAGACUGGAAUUCCUGGUGUAGCAGUGAAAUGCGUAGAUAUCAGGAGGAAUACCGAUGGCGAAGGCAGGUCUCUGGGCUGACACUGACGCUCAUGCACGAAAGCGUGGGGAGCAAACAGG